UGACCUACGGGAGGCAGCAGUGAGGGAUAUUGGUCAAUGGGGGAAACCCUGAACCAGCAACGCCGCGUGAGGGAAGACGGUUUUCGGAUUGUAAACCUCUGUCCUCUGUGAAGAUAAUGACGGUAGCAGAGGAGGAAGCUCCGGCUAACUACGUGCCAGCAGCCGCGGUAAUACGUAGGGAGCGAGCGUUGUCCGGAAUUACUGGGUGUAAAGGGAGCGUAGGCGGGACUGCAAGUUGGGUGUCAAAUCUACCGGCUCAACCGGUAGCCGCACUCAAAACUGCAGUUCUUGAGUGAAGUAGAGGC
RNAcentral lists this ribosomal RNA (305 nucleotides) under uncultured bacterium. Its description in RNAcentral is "bacterial SSU rRNA". It matches the Rfam family "Bacterial small subunit ribosomal RNA", at positions 333 to 658 of the family's 1533-position model. The record is from RNAcentral.